GUGGUCGCAGAGACACUUGCAUUAAGCUUCAUGACAUGGAGAACAAAUUGGGAUCAAGAGGUAUUUAAAGCUUCAUUGCGCCUCAAAAAAUGGUACUUAAAGUCUUCUGAGGAGAUUAAUCAAAAGUUUGACCAUGCUUGAAGAACAACUAUAAUUAAUUUCUACAAAUUAUUUGUACCAACUCCAACUCUUUCCAUGCUUACUAAUUACGAAAACGUGCAAUGAU
Molecule: long non-coding RNA, 226 nt
Organism: Olea europaea var. sylvestris
Lineage: Eukaryota; Viridiplantae; Streptophyta; Magnoliopsida; Lamiales; Oleaceae
Exons: 2
Source: RefSeq, a predicted model, not a curated record